UUUAACUUAGUUUAAAAUAAAAACGGAAGCUUGUCAAGCUUUAAAUGCAAUACUGGUGUUGUAGUUAAAU
This 70-nucleotide transfer RNA is filed under the name Phyllidiella pustulosa. Its description in RNAcentral is "tRNA-Asp". It matches the Rfam family "tRNA". From Rfam's summary of the family: Transfer RNA (tRNA) molecules are approximately 80 nucleotides in length. Their secondary structure includes four short double-helical elements and three loops (D, anti-codon, and T loops). RNAcentral also lists the same sequence under 1 other name. The record is from RNAcentral. Lineage: Eukaryota; Metazoa; Mollusca; Gastropoda; Nudibranchia; Phyllidiidae.